GACGAACGCUGGCGGCGCGCCUAACACAUGCAAGUCGAGCGAGAACCGGAGCUUCGGCUCCGGGGACAGCGGCGAACGGGUGAGUAACACGUGGAUAACCUGCCCUCGGCACCGGAAUAGCCCGGGGAAACCCGGAUUAAUGCCGGAUAGCCCCACAUCCCUGCGGGGAACGUGGGAAAAGGUAGCUUCGGCCUCUGGCCGAGGAUGGGUCCGCGGUGGAUUAGCUUGUUGGUGCGGGUAAUGGCCCACCAAGGCGACGAUCCAUAGCUGGUCUGAGAGGACGAUCAGCCACACUGGGACUGAGACACGGCCCAGACUCCUACGGGAGGCAGCAGUGGGGAAUCUUGCGCAAUGGGCGAAAGCCUGAUGCAGCGACGCCGCGUGGGGGAUGAAGGCCUUCGGGUUGUAAACUCCUUUCGCCAUUGACGAAGCCCUUUGGGGUGACGGUAGGUGGAGAAGAAGCACCGGCUAACUACGUGCCAGCAGCCGCCGUAACAC
RNAcentral lists this ribosomal RNA (498 nucleotides) under uncultured bacterium. Its description in RNAcentral is "bacterial SSU rRNA". It matches the Rfam family "Bacterial small subunit ribosomal RNA", at positions 28 to 526 of the family's 1533-position model. The record is from RNAcentral.